CGAACGGGUGGAGUAAUGCGUGACCAACCUGCCCCAUGCUCCAGAAUAGCUCUUGGAAACGGGUGGUAAUGCUGGAUGCUCCAACUUGACGCAUGUCUUGUUGGGAAAGUGUUUAGUGGCAUGGGAUGGGGUCGCGUCCUAUCAGCUUGUAGGCGGGGUAAUGGCCCACCUAGGCUUCGACGGGUAGCCGGCCUGAGAGGGCGGACGGCCACAUUGGGACUGAGAUACGGCCCAGACUCCUACGGGAGGCAGCAGGC
RNAcentral lists this ribosomal RNA (257 nucleotides) under uncultured Gardnerella sp. RNAcentral's name for it is "partial 16S ribosomal RNA". It matches the Rfam family "Bacterial small subunit ribosomal RNA", at positions 99 to 354 of the family's 1533-position model. Lineage: Bacteria; Bacillati; Actinomycetota; Actinomycetes; Bifidobacteriales; Bifidobacteriaceae. The record is from RNAcentral.